Molecule: long non-coding RNA, 1298 nt
Filed under: Monodelphis domestica (gray short-tailed opossum)
Lineage: Eukaryota; Metazoa; Chordata; Mammalia; Didelphimorphia; Didelphidae
Description: lncRNA (ENSMODG00000038438.1)
Source: RNAcentral
CCGGGUUAUGCGAAAUUCUUUGCUGCCAGUUCACUUCUUCUGCACGCUGAAUUCGAAGCUCGCCUCCCAAGCUUCCCCGCAUCUCCGGCGCCAGAACGACCCACGAUUAAGAUUCCCCCCACUACUGUGGGGGAAGCUCAGCCCUUCUACUGAAGGCUUGAGGUCGAGGUUGGCCUGAGGCUGCCAGUUGCAGUUUUGGAGGCAGGCGCCACCCCGCAGGCGACUUCCAGUUUCUACGCUCUGGGCGCCGGGGGGAAGACGGCACACUCACUCGGUCCGGAGUCACGUGCAGAGUGCGGCUAGCACUCGAAUCGGCAAGCAAGGAGAUAGUGACCCAUGUAUCCAGGAUCUUCUCAAUAGACUAAAGUCCCAAACGCGACAGAGAGCAUUGGUGAAGAAUGACAAGGCUUUAUGCGUGAACUAUACAAGCAGGUGGUACAUAGACAACUGGCCUAUGUCAAGAAGUGGAAAACAGACGGCAGAGUUCACAGAAUUGCAGAAUCUCAAGGUUGGAAGGGACCUCAGAGACCAUCUAGCCCUGAACAACGAUCCUCUCUACGAUUUAUUCACCAAGCGGCCAUCCAUUCUUUGCUUCAGUGUCUCUAUUGAGGAGGAACCGCCCAUGGCAACCAGUUUUACUUGUGGGUAGCUCAUUGUUGGAAAGUAUUUUUCUGCCAUUAAGGCUAAAGUUUUUUUUUUUUACAACUUCUACCAUUCCGCACUGAUUCUAGAAAAAAUCUAAUCUUCGUCCAUAGGACAAAGCUCUUGCCCCCUGACCCUGAACCAUUUCUUCUCCUCACUAACAUCCAUUUACUUCAAGUGAUCUGUAUGUGGAACAUUUCUAGUAUUUUCAGUAUCCCGGAUCAUAGGUUUCAAGUGGGAAAUGAAUUCCAAGAUCAAUUUAGUUUAAUCCCCUCACUGUAGAUAUGAGGAAGUUGAGGCUGAAACCCAUUUGUCCAGGCUUGGAUUUGAAGUCAACACUUUCAGGUCAGCUUCCGCAGGACAUUCCAGCUCAGUGGCAUGCAUAUAUAAAUGGACAUAGUUCUGUAUAUUCAAUAUUAGAAUAUAACUGCUUAUUUUGGACAAUUUGCCGUAUAUACUUAAACCUGAGAUUAUAUAAGUUUAUUGAAUUACUAUGGCAUCACCGAUAAAAUUGAUCUAGGGUGAUAAAGGACUUCUGAGGACUGAAAUCCAAGUCCACUAAACCCUCAAGUUUUUGCAAUAUCAACUGUAGCCUAGGCAUGAUACCCCUGUCCUCAACCCAAUAAAUGUAUUUAUGAAGUUUUGGUUUUAGUCCA